RNAcentral lists this ribosomal RNA (252 nucleotides) under uncultured bacterium. RNAcentral describes it as "partial 16S ribosomal RNA". It matches the Rfam family "Bacterial small subunit ribosomal RNA", at positions 15 to 259 of the family's 1533-position model. The record is from RNAcentral.
GAUCAUGGCUCAGGAUGAACGCUAGCGACAGGCUUAACACAUGCAAGUCGAGGGGCAGCGAGGAAGUGGCAACACUUCUGUCGGCGACCGGCGCACGGGUGAGUAACGCGUAUGCAACCUGCCCUUCACAGGGGGAUAACCGGGAGAAAUUCCGACUAAUACCGCAUACGUCCUCCGGGGGCGACCCCACGGGGAGUGAAAGAAUUAUCGGUGAAGGAUGGGCAUGCGUGAUAUUAGGUAGUUGGCGGGGCG